GGUGGCUCAGCGGUAGAGCGCUUGCCUUGUGUGCAUGAGACCCUGGGUUGGAUUCCUCAGCACCA
This is a non-coding RNA of Dipodomys ordii (Ord's kangaroo rat), 65 nucleotides long. NCBI's taxonomy places the organism in Eukaryota, Metazoa, Chordata, Mammalia, Rodentia, Heteromyidae. The record is from Rfam.